This 274-nucleotide ribosomal RNA is filed under the name uncultured bacterium. RNAcentral describes it as "partial 16S ribosomal RNA". It matches the Rfam family "Bacterial small subunit ribosomal RNA", at positions 523 to 796 of the family's 1533-position model. The record is from RNAcentral.
AUACGGAGGGGGUUAGCGUUGUUCGGAAUUACUGGGCGUAAAGCGUACGUAGGCGGACUGAUCAGUUGGGGGUGAAAUCCCAGGGCUUAACCCUGGAACUGCCUUCAAUACUGUCAGUCUUGAGUUUGGGAGAGGUGAGUGGAAUUCCUAGUGUAGAGGUGAAAUUCAUAGAUAUUAGGAGGAACACCAGUGGCGAAGGCGGCUCACUGGCCCAUUACUGACGCUGAGGUACGAAAGCGUGGGGAGCAAACAGGAUUAGAUACCCUAGUAGUCC